UACGUAGGGUGCGAGCGUUAAUCGGAAUUACUGGGCGUAAAGCGUGCGCAGGCGGUUCUCCAAGUCCGUUGUGAAAGCCCCGGGCUCAACCUGGGAACUGCGUCUGAUACUGGACGGCUGGAGUUUGGGAGAGGGAUGUAGAAUUCCAGGUGUAGCGGUGGAAUGCGUAGAUAUCUGGAGGAAUACCGGUGGCGAAGGCGGCAUCCUGGACCAAUACUGACGCUGAGGCGCGAAAGCUAGGGGAGCAAACGGG
This 253-nucleotide ribosomal RNA is filed under the name uncultured bacterium. RNAcentral's name for it is "partial 16S ribosomal RNA". It matches the Rfam family "Bacterial small subunit ribosomal RNA", at positions 524 to 776 of the family's 1533-position model. The record is from RNAcentral.